This 449-nucleotide long non-coding RNA is filed under the name Ananas comosus (pineapple). Its description in RNAcentral is "long non-coding RNA (ACOM_LNC043633)". Lineage: Eukaryota; Viridiplantae; Streptophyta; Magnoliopsida; Poales; Bromeliaceae. The record is from RNAcentral.
UUAAUACCAAUGCAAACCCUAAAACAAAAGUAUAUAGAAUUCGAAUAUGUUCCUAUCAUUAGAAUUCGUUAAAAAAAUUUAGUUAACCAUAGAUUAAACACUUAACGUUGAUUAAUUUUUUAUAUUUUUACCUCUUUAUGUUAUACUGUUAUGGCUUUUGGAGGGAUAUAUUUGUGAUGACAAAAUUAAAAAUAUAAAAACAGGUUUCUAACGGCAACAAACCAGAUGGAUAUAUUUGAAAAUAUGAGAACUUUUGCAGAAACAAUAUAUAAAAAUUAAUCUUUGUAGGGAUGUAUUUGACAUUCAGUAUGUUUAUAGGGUCGUGUAUAAAAUUAACCUUUUUUCUAUUUGAUAGUCUAAAUUAAUAGUUGUAUUUACAAACUCUGUCAUCUUUUUCGGUCAUUUUUCUUUAUGUAUAUAAAUAAAUAAAUGAGUGAAUAAAUAUAAAA